RNAcentral lists this ribosomal RNA (468 nucleotides) under uncultured bacterium. RNAcentral's name for it is "partial 16S ribosomal RNA". It matches the Rfam family "Bacterial small subunit ribosomal RNA", at positions 28 to 507 of the family's 1533-position model. The record is from RNAcentral.
GACGAACGCUGGCGGCGUGCUUAACACAUGCAAGUCGAACGGAAAGGCCCUGCUUUUGUGGGGUGCUCGAGUGGCGAACGGGUGAGUAACACGUGAGUAACCUGCCCUUGACUUUGGGAUAACUUCAGGAAACUGGGGCUAAUACCGGAUAGGAGCUCCUGCUGCAUGGUGGGGGUUGGAAAGUUUCGGCGGUUGGGGAUGGACUCGCGUCGUAUCAGCUUGUUGGUGGGGUAGUGGCUUACCAAGGCUUUGACGGGUAGCCGGCCUGAGAGGGUGACCGGCCACAUUGGGACUGAGAUACGGCCCAGACUCCUACGGGAGGCAGCAGUGCGGAAUAUUGCACAAUGGGCGGAAGCCUGAUGCAGCAACGCCGCGUGCGGGAUGACGGCCUUCGGGUUGUAAACCGCUUUCGCCUGUGACGAAGCGUGAGUGACGGUAAUGGGUAAAGAAGCACCGGCUAACUACGUG